CUGUAAAUGCUUUCAAGUUAUGGGCUUUUCUGGACUUGGUAUCACAAAGUAAUUGCCAACUGGAACUUGGAGGGUGAUGCUCUGAUAUGAAGAUCAAGGCCAAACAUCCUACUGAAAGAAAAAAGUUUAAUCAUCAAGUUCCCUUGUGCUUUAUCUCAUACAUUAUAAUAUGGUACCGCAAUACAGUCUUAAUUCUGAAUGAUUCGUAACCCCAUCGCAGAGCCAGGUUUGAUUGAACUUCAUUAGCAAGUAGCAACAGAUAACUAGAAGGACAUAUAUUGGACAAGAAACAAAGUCCGCAUAUAUAGAAGUAAGUCGAGCAGAAGAUGAGAAGACAUACACUGCAAGCAGUGAUGCAGGACCUUCCAAUACAGCGGUAAUCCCUUCAACGGUCACAGUUGCGGUGUCCCUAGCGACAUAUCUGGAGUCGCCUUUGCUGUAUUCUUUCCCUGAACAAGGCAGAGCCCACCCAAUGUCAUUUCAGCUCAACAACAACAUAUUCUGAUUUGGGACAAUAAUUACGGCUGGUGAUGCCAGCGAGAACUUACAAACUUCAUUGAAGAAAUUGGGGUUUUCCUUCUUGAAGAAAUUAGGGGUGAAUACGAAGGGCCCCUCGAUGAGUAUGUGGGUCAACCCUGUGAAUGCCCACCAGCACAUAAGCAGACGGUCGGUCUUGGACAAUCUGCCACAUCUUCCUGAAAGUAAUGACAUGACAUGAGCUCAGAGUUAUACUAGAUCGUGAAAAGCAAAGCAGAAUCAUGGUAAAACAAACGAGCGCGCUAGGCUAGAUUCCAACUUUGGACACUGGAAUUUCAACUCCGAGGAGGGGAACCGUCGGUGAUGGAUCGGAGGAACAAGUAGGAGGAGAUCGAUACAUAGUAUAGAGUAUCGUACCGGAGA
Molecule: long non-coding RNA, 900 nt
Organism: Phragmites australis (common reed)
Lineage: Eukaryota; Viridiplantae; Streptophyta; Magnoliopsida; Poales; Poaceae
Exons: 4
Source: RefSeq, a predicted model, not a curated record